This 630-nucleotide ribosomal RNA is filed under the name Alcanivorax sp. P663. RNAcentral describes it as "bacterial SSU rRNA". It matches the Rfam family "Bacterial small subunit ribosomal RNA", at positions 129 to 795 of the family's 1533-position model. The record is from RNAcentral. Lineage: Bacteria; Pseudomonadati; Pseudomonadota; Gammaproteobacteria; Oceanospirillales; Alcanivoracaceae.
CCCAUCAGUGGGGGAUAACCCGGGCAAACUCGGGCUAAUACCGCAUACGUCCUACGGGACAAAGCAGGGGACCUUUUGGCCUUGCGCUGAUGGAUGAGCUCGCGUCGGAUUAGCUUGUUGGUGAGGUAAAGGCUCACCAAGGCGACGAUCCGUAGCUGGUCUGAGAGGAUGAUCAGCCACACCGGGACUGAGACACGGCCCGGACUCCUACGGGAGGCAGCAGUGGGGAAUCUUGGACAAUGGGGGCAACCCUGAUCCAGCCAUGCCGCGUGUGUGAAGAAGGCCUUCGGGUUGUAAAGCACUUUCAGUAGGGAGGAAGGCUUCCGGUUAAUACCCGGGAGUACUUGACGUUACCUACAGAAGAAGCACCGGCUAAUUUCGUGCCAGCAGCCGCGGUAAUACGAAAGGUGCAAGCGUUAAUCGGAAUUACUGGGCGUAAAGCGCGCGUAGGCGGUGUGUUAAGUCGGAUGUGAAAGUCCAGGGCUCAACCUUGGAAUUGCAUUCGUCAUGGGCUCGCUAGAGUCCAGUAGAGAGAGGCCUUAUUAGUCGUGAAUCUGAUCAUGGCGCAGAAUUAGAUACCCUGGUAGUCCUGAGUUUGAUCCUGGCUCAGGAUUAGAUACCCUGGUAGUC